This 446-nucleotide ribosomal RNA is filed under the name uncultured bacterium. RNAcentral describes it as "partial 16S ribosomal RNA". It matches the Rfam family "Bacterial small subunit ribosomal RNA", at positions 338 to 795 of the family's 1533-position model. The record is from RNAcentral.
CCUACGGGGCGCAGCAGUCGAGAAUCAUUCACAAUGGGGGAAACCCUGAUGGUGCGACGCCGCGUGGGGGAAUGAAGGUCUUCGGAUUGUAAACCCCUGUCAUGUGGGAGCAAAUUAAAAAGAUCGUACCACAAGAGGAAGAGACGGCUAACUCUGUGCCAGCAGCCGCGGUAAUACAGAGGUCUCAAGCGUUGUUCGGAAUCACUGGGCGUAAGGCGUGCGUAGGCUGUUUCGUAAGUCGUGUGUGAAAGGCGCGGGCUCAACCCGCGGACGGCACAUGAUACUGCGAGACUAGAGUAAUGGAGGGGGAACCGGAAUUCUCGGUGUAGCAGUGAAAUGCGUAGAUAUCGAGAGGAACACUCGUGGCGAAGGCGGGUUCCUGGACAUUAACUGACGCUGAGGCACGAAGGCCAGGGGAGCGAAAGGGAUUAGAUACCCGAGUAGUC